AGGUGCAUAUGAUUUCUCUAACUUUCUCACAAGUUAUGGUAAAGUACAUAAUCCAUUUCCUGAAAAUUCGAAAUCAAAGUUGUAAAAUCUACUACACUAGGGAUUACAAUAUGGAUGAAUGCUUUAGGUAUUCAAAAUGGCAAAGCAAUGAAACCAAUGGGGAACUUUGCAUAAAGCCUUUGAAAGCCAAAAACCACUUUAUUUGGCUGUAAGAGGAAGGAGUUGAGGAUCAAGGACAAUGUACACAGAACCAUCACAUGCAUUAACCAAUGUUCCAAAUCCUGGAUCUCUGGUAAGAAGAUAAAUACCAUAAUUUGAAGCCCUUAUGUUGGUGGGGGGAUAAUGAACUCGCAGAGAAGUAAUGCCCGAGCAUCUAAGAAAUCUAUGUUGAAGAACUUUUGGAUCCAAGGUAACCCUAAACCACAUCUCUUCCAUUUAUGUUUAAUGAUGAUGACGAACAUGGAAUUAUAUUCCCCACUGUGACGCAUUGGUAGUAUGAGCAGUCAUAACUUGCAAUGGCCUCACCUGUACGCUAGAAGACAAUGGUAGUUCUGUGAAUAUUCUAUUUAGAAGUGGGUUCAACAAAAUGUAGAUUGACCAUCCCUGGUUGUUUAUGGUUGAGCCAUUGUAUGAGUUUAGAGGUGACAAUUUGUCAAGGGGGACAAAUCACUUUAACGAUUUAAUUGGAUGAGGAACCAACAAUGUUCCAAUGAUAUAUGGACUUCUUGAUAAUAGAUAGCAAGUCUGCUUACAAUGGAAUCCUAAGAAGGCUAAGCUAAAGCAAUUACAAAUAGUAACAUCCAUUCACCAUCUCUUCAUGACAUUUUGAACUCCAAAAGGAGCGAUUAGCAUGAAGGGAUAAUGCGCCUGAGAUCGAGUGUUACCUCAACACGCAGAGAGAAGAAGCCCCAAGAACUCCAAUAAUUAAUACCACAUUGAUGGUAGAAAAUGGGAAACAUGCUUGAAAUCCUCGUUUAGGAAAGCGUAUAUCUAACAUUGCGAAUGAUCAGUUGAAAAAUUCUCGUCAGUAAGAAUGAUACUACAAAUACUAGGAGAAGUUUGGAUAUCGAAACUGCUAAAAUGAACCAAGAUUACAGAAAGGGUCGCAAUGACAAAAUGUACGAUUCAAACCUGAAAUGGUUAGAAGGCGAAUUUACCUUUGCCUAUAACGAAGUUUCAAUUGAAGGCGAAUCCCUAUCCGCCAAAUGCAAAAAUGUCGAAAAGAUAAGCCUUGAGCCAUCAAAAUGGAAAAAUUAAAAGCGAAGUUUUUUCAUCAAAGAAGAAACAAUGAAAAAUUGAGUUUUACCCAUCGACAUCUAAAUAGCUGUUGAAAGUGAGCCCAUUUUUUUUUUUUUUGCCCCCCGAGGCACUUCUCCAAUGGCAAAGGAAGGAUUCUCUCAAGGCUAGCAGUUCAGAAGUCGUGGGUGCGAUUCGUGGGGCUCUUGGAAGGCAAGACAUAUAUUGAAAGACAGGAUUUAUCCUGGAAGGCAGGAAUGUCUUGGAAGAUAAGGUGCAACGUGGGUUGGCUCACUAGUCACUUUGACAGUUCAGUUGGAGAGACGCUCGGACCCUGGUCAGUAGGAGGCACAUCCCGCGGUUUAAUUGGUUUGUGUGAAGAGGGGCCGGAUCACAGAUCCAAGGAAUAGUCGUUGAAGGCGGACACCUCGAAAAAAAAAAAAGUGAGCCCAUUUUCACCCAAGCAGAAGUCUAAUGCCAAAAUGGAAAUCACGAAGAAAGUCUUUUAGUUAAAUGCAUGUGAUAAGUACUAUAUAGUAAUGUUCAUUGGCAAUGGUCAAGAUAUUGAUCUUUAUAUUCU
RNAcentral lists this long non-coding RNA (1816 nucleotides) under Olea europaea subsp. europaea. The record is from RNAcentral. Lineage: Eukaryota; Viridiplantae; Streptophyta; Magnoliopsida; Lamiales; Oleaceae.